AACGCACAUUGCGCCCUUUGGUAUUCCUUAGGGCAUGCCUGUUCGAGCGUCAUUUAAACCUUCAAGCCCUGCUUGGUGUUGGGUGCCUGUCCCGCCCUCCGCGCGUGGACUCACCUCAAAUCCAUUGGCGGCCCCCGCACGGCCACGAGCGCAGCAGAAACGCAAACUCGUGUGCCGGACCGGGCGGCUCCCAGAAGCUACACUCACCAUUUUGACCUCGGAUCAGGUAGGGAUACCCGCUGAACUUAA
RNAcentral lists this unclassified non-coding RNA (249 nucleotides) under uncultured Pleosporales. RNAcentral's name for it is "sequence contains 5.8S rRNA gene, ITS2, 28S rRNA gene". The record is from RNAcentral. Lineage: Eukaryota; Fungi; Ascomycota; Dothideomycetes; Pleosporales.